Molecule: ribosomal RNA, 1490 nt
Filed under: Lacticaseibacillus rhamnosus
Lineage: Bacteria; Bacillati; Bacillota; Bacilli; Lactobacillales; Lactobacillaceae
Description: bacterial SSU rRNA
Rfam family: Bacterial small subunit ribosomal RNA
Source: RNAcentral
AUGACGCUGGCGGCGUGCUUAAUACAUGCAAGUCGAACGAGUUCUGAUUAUUGAAAGGUGCUUGCAUCUUGAUUUAAUUUUGAACGAGUGGCGGACGGGUGAGUAACACGUGGGUAACCUGCCCUUAAGUGGGGGAUAACAUUUGGAAACAGAUGCUAAUACCGCAUAAAUCCAAGAACCGCAUGGUUCUUGGCUGAAAGAUGGCGUAAGCUAUCGCUUUUGGAUGGACCCGCGGCGUAUUAGCUAGUUGGUGAGGUAACGGCUCACCAAGGCAAUGAUACGUAGCCGAACUGAGAGGUUGAUCGGCCACAUUGGGACUGAGACACGGCCCAAACUCCUACGGGAGGCAGCAGUAGGGAAUCUUCCACAAUGGACGCAAGUCUGAUGGAGCAACGCCGCGUGAGUGAAGAAGGCUUUCGGGUCGUAAAACUCUGUUGUUGGAGAAGAAUGGUCGGCAGAGUAACUGUUGUCGGCGUGACGGUAUCCAACCAGAAAGCCACGGCUAACUACGUGCCAGCAGCCGCGGUAAUACGUAGGUGGCAAGCGUUAUCCGGAUUUAUUGGGCGUAAAGCGAGCGCAGGCGGUUUUUUAAGUCUGAUGUGAAAGCCCUCGGCUUAACCGAGGAAGUGCAUCGGAAACUGGGAAACUUGAGUGCAGAAGAGGACAGUGGAACUCCAUGUGUAGCGGUGAAAUGCGUAGAUAUAUGGAAGAACACCAGUGGCGAAGGCGGCUGUCUGGUCUGUAACUGACGCUGAGGCUCGAAAGCAUGGGUAGCGAACAGGAUUAGAUACCCUGGUAGUCCAUGCCGUAAACGAUGAAUGCUAGGUGUUGGAGGGUUUCCGCCCUUCAGUGCCGCAGCUAACGCAUUAAGCAUUCCGCCUGGGGAGUACGACCGCAAGGUUGAAACUCAAAGGAAUUGACGGGGGCCCGCACAAGCGGUGGAGCAUGUGGUUUAAUUCGAAGCAACGCGAAGAACCUUACCAGGUCUUGACAUCUUUUGAUCACCUGAGAGAUCAGGUUUCCCCUUCGGGGGCAAAAUGACAGGUGGUGCAUGGUUGUCGUCAGCUCGUGUCGUGAGAUGUUGGGUUAAGUCCCGCAACGAGCGCAACCCUUAUGACUAGUUGCCAGCAUUUAGUUGGGCACUCUAGUAAGACUGCCGGUGACAAACCGGAGGAAGGUGGGGAUGACGUCAAAUCAUCAUGCCCCUUAUGACCUGGGCUACACACGUGCUACAAUGGAUGGUACAACGAGUUGCGAGACCGCGAGGUCAAGCUAAUCUCUUAAAGCCAUUCUCAGUUCGGACUGUAGGCUGCAACUCGCCUACACGAAGUCGGAAUCGCUAGUAAUCGCGGAUCAGCACGCCGCGGUGAAUACGUUCCCGGGCCUUGUACACACCGCCCGUCACACCAUGAGAGUUUGUAACACCCGAAGCCGGUGGCGUAACCCUUUUAGGGAGCGAGCCGUCUAAGGUGGGACAAAUGAUUAGGGUG